GAGCACGUAGGUGGGUUUGUAAGUCGGGUGUGAAAGCCCCUGGCUCAACCAGGGAACUGCAUUUGAUACUGUGAGGCUUGAGGACAGGAGGGGAGAGUGGAACUUCUGGUGGAGCGGUGAAAUGCGUAGAUAUCAGAAGGAACGCCGGCGGCGAAAGCGAUUCUCUGGCCUAUAACUGACACUGAGUGUGCGAAAGCUAGGGGAGCAAACGGGAUUAGACACCCCGGUGGUCCUAGCCGUAAACGAUGGGCACUAAGUAGAGGGGUUU
Molecule: ribosomal RNA, 268 nt
Filed under: uncultured bacterium
Lineage: Bacteria
Description: partial large subunit ribosomal RNA
Rfam family: Bacterial small subunit ribosomal RNA
Source: RNAcentral